GGCGAGUGCAGAUGAAAUGCUUCAUUAUUAGUGUUGUGUCAGAGUGAGGAGGAAAUCUCUGCAGAUGGACACAGGGACAAAGAACCUUCAGAGAGACAGAUAGAAGAGCAGAGUGGUAAAUGCAUUACGGAGGAAGAAACCAUAGAAUGCAACCACAAGGAAGAAUGUCAAGCUUCAAAAAUGACACAGAAGAUAGUAUUUUGAUGCAUGUUGGUCCCCAGCCAGUCUACCAACAUUCUCCAAGAUAUACAGUAUUCUUUUGUGUUCAAUAGAAGAAAGAAACAACUUGAAGAUGCAUUUCACGCGAGGCCGAUACCAAGCUGAGCUCCAUCUGCACCGCACUGCUACUCAUAUCAAAGAGGGAGCGAGUGACAGAAGGGAUGAGAGAAGCCGACUAAAAUGUGUGAAAGAAAUGUGCGGCGGACUCUAGGCUGCAUCCCUUCAGCAACAUAUGGGCUCCUAAUGAACAAUCUUCCAGCCAACAAUGUGGAAUGAGUUGAGCGACGUCAAGAGCUGCACGUGGAGACAGCAGGACCACCAAAUGAGUCAGUGGGCCACCAGACUCCCGUUUCAGUCGUGGGUUGCUUUUCAAAGAGGAGAUGUCACUACAGGUGAACACAGGAGGUGACCUAAACCACCUGUCCACUGGUUUGUAUCCUAGAGGCCACCUGUUUCCACAGCAACAAAGUGUUGAUGGGUCACGUAAAGCACUGUCGCAUUAACAAAAUUUCGUGGGCAAAAAAACUCAACUGCCUAUUUCAAACAAGCAGCUUUCUUUUUGUAUCGUGCACACGAUUUAUAAACCGAGAGAGCGAAUUAGUAAAUUGUGUGCACAAUUUAGCAAAUCGAGGGAACGAAAUAGUAAUCGUGUGCACAUUUUAGUACAUCGAGGGAAUGAAUUAGUAAAUUGUGCGCACAAUUUAUUUCUUUUUUCUUGCAUGUCAUGUGCGGGGCUCUGUAGUAUUGUGAUCGACUGUUGACAUUAUAUCAGUUGUGUGUUUCUCUCUUCAAAGUUUUCAGUGUCAGAGUGUUUUGUAAUGCAUGGUAUUUUAGGACUUUUGACCCUCUUUGAAUCUCUCAGUGCAGAGGCAUGAAUAAAACAUCUCACAUGUUGAUACUGUCAGUGAAUCUGGGCCAGAAGACCUCCGCUGUUUAAGGUGGGCUAACAGAUCCUAGAUUGUAUUGCAGACUGUUGAAUUUUU
Molecule: long non-coding RNA, 1202 nt
Organism: Cyprinus carpio carpio
Lineage: Eukaryota; Metazoa; Chordata; Actinopteri; Cypriniformes; Cyprinidae
Source: Ensembl